UACGGGAGGGUGCGAGCGUUAAUCGGAAUUACUGGGCGUAAAGCGCGCGUAGGCGGCUUGUCAAGUUGGUUGUGAAAUCCCCGGGCUCAACCUGGGAACUGCAGCCGAUACUAGCAGGCUAGAGUACGAGGAGAGGGGGUGGAAUUCCUAGUGUAGCGGUGAAAUGCGUAGAUAUUAGGAGGAACACCAGUGGCGAAGGNGGCCCCCCUGGUUCGAUACUGACGCUGAGGUGCGAAAGCGUGGGCAGCAAACAGGAUUAGAUA
This 263-nucleotide ribosomal RNA is filed under the name uncultured bacterium. RNAcentral describes it as "partial 16S ribosomal RNA". It matches the Rfam family "Bacterial small subunit ribosomal RNA", at positions 524 to 784 of the family's 1533-position model. The record is from RNAcentral.